CCCUUAGAUGUUCUGGGCAGCACGCGCGCUACAAUGGUCUUCGCAAACGGAUGCAUUCUCGAAGGAGAAUGCCAAUCUUGGAAUCUAUGCCUUGGUCGGGACAGUUGCUUGCAAUUUUUCGACUCGAACCAGGAAUUCCUUGUAAUCGUGAUUCAUCACAUCACGAUGAAUACGUCCCUGCCCUUUGUACACACCGCCCGUCGCUCCUACCGAUCGAAGAGUUAGGUGACUUGUUUUGAUCGAUAAGAUUUGACUAUGGUCAACUCUCGUUGUGAAAUUCUGUGAAUCUGACUGUUUAGAGGAAGGAAAAGUCGUAACA
RNAcentral lists this ribosomal RNA (319 nucleotides) under uncultured eukaryote. RNAcentral describes it as "partial 18S ribosomal RNA". It matches the Rfam family "Eukaryotic small subunit ribosomal RNA", at positions 1470 to 1796 of the family's 1831-position model. The record is from RNAcentral.